GAAGUUCAAUACAAAGUGGACCGCCUUUCUCUUUGCUAUAUAUAUACAGAGAAGUCUAGAAAAUUCAGUUCAUUGUAUUGGAUCAUCAACUCGUUGAAAUCUGAGAUUAACAAUUAUGGAUAAAGCAAUCGAGAGACAAAGAGUUCUUCUUCAACAUCUACGUCCUUCACAGACGUCUUCUUCUUUGGAAAACAUUGAAUCAUCUAUUUCUGCAUCUGUCUGCUCUGCUGGAGACAGUGCUGCUUACCAGAGAACUUCCGUUUUUGGAGAUGAUGUUGUCAUAGUUGCUGCGUAUAGGACUCCUCUUUGCAAAGCAAAGAGAGGAGGCUUCAAGGAUACUUAUCCUGAUGAUAUACUUGCUGCAGUUCUAAAGGCGGUGAUUGAAAAGACUAAUGUGAACCCUAGUGAAGUUGGGGAUAUUGUUGUUGGCUCGGUGUUGGCCCCAGGUUCCCAGAGGGCAAGUGAAUGCAGGAUGGCUGCA
This 481-nucleotide unclassified non-coding RNA is filed under the name Hevea brasiliensis (rubber tree). The record is from RNAcentral. Lineage: Eukaryota; Viridiplantae; Streptophyta; Magnoliopsida; Malpighiales; Euphorbiaceae.